This 537-nucleotide long non-coding RNA is filed under the name Fukomys damarensis (Damara mole-rat). RNAcentral describes it as "lncRNA (ENSFDAG00000026345.1)". The record is from RNAcentral. Lineage: Eukaryota; Metazoa; Chordata; Mammalia; Rodentia; Bathyergidae.
UCCGACUGCAUGAAUAGCAAAUGAAAAGAAAACAACGCAUGGACCCCAUGUUUAAAAUAUUUGAUGGGAAAGAAAUGUAGAGGGAUGCCAGGAGCAGUUCAGGAAGGGCCUGUGUUCCAGCCCCAAGCAAUGGCUUUGAUUAUGAAGGCCAUGUGCAGCCAGCAUGGAGCUAUUUACUGAGAAGUAAGUGUAAGGGGAGCAUGGCAACUGACAGGCAGGUCAGGGCGCUGCCAUGAUACAAGGGAGGAAAGGUGAAGGCAAGAAUGUGAGCGUAAUAAUGGUGAGGGAGAGGCAUGGAAAGACACUGUGUUUCUAUUUCCUGUCUGCCUCCGGAAGACUGAAGCUGUGGACACUCUCCUCGCAGAGAUAUCACAGUUUAGCAAGAUUCAUUAGGUGAAAAGGACAAGUUUAAAAACAGAAGAAAGAAGGACACAAGGAAAAACAAAGUCUUAAUGUCGGUAAUAGAAGAAAACGCAGAUGAUAAAGCCAGCAUCCCAGUGGUUUUGUUAAAACGUGGAAGAGGAAGUGGGGUAAAAC